CUUAACACAUGCAAGUCGAGGGGCAUCAGGAAGAAAGCUUGCUUUCUUUGCUGGCGACCGGCGCACGGGUGAGUAACACGUAUCCAACCUGCCCUUUACUCGGGGAUAGCCUUUCGAAAGAAAGAUUAAUACCCGAUAGCAUAAUGAUUCCGCAUGGUUUCAUUAUUAAAGGAUUCCGGUAAAGGAUGGGGAUGCGUUCCAUUAGGUUGUUGGUGAGGUAACGGCCCACCAAGCCUUCGAUGGAUAGGGGUUCUGAGAGGAAGGUCCCCCACAUUGGAACUGAGACACGGUCCAAACUCCUACGGGAGGCAGCAGUGAGGAAUAUUGGUCAAUGGGCGCUAGCCUGAACCAGCCAAGUAGCGUGAAGGAUGAAGGCUCUAUGGGUCGUAAACUUCUUUUAUAUAAGAAUAAAGUGCAGUAUGUAUACUGUUUUGUAUGUAUUAUAUGAAUAAGGAUCGGCUAACUCCGUGCCAGCAGCCGCGGUAAUACGGAGGAUCCGAGCGUUAUCCGGAUUUAUUGGGUUUAAAGGGAGCGUAGGUGGACUGGUAAGUCAGUUGUGAAAGUUUGCGGCUCAACCGUAAAAUUGCAGUUGAUACUGUCAGUCUUGAGUACAGUAGAGGUGGGCGGAAUUCGUGGUGUAGCGGUGAAAUGCUUAGAUAUCACGAAGAACUCCGAUUGCGAAGGCAGCUCACUGGACUGCAACUGACACUGAUGCUCGAAAGUGUGGGUAUCAAACAGGAUUAGAUACCCUGGUAGUCCACACAGUAAACGAUGAAUACUCGCUGUUUGCGAUAUACAGUAAGCGGCCAAGCGAAAGCAUUAAGUAUUCCACCUGGGGAGUACGCCGGCAACGGUGAAACUCAAAGGAAUUGACGGGGGCCCGCACAAGCGGAGGAACAUGUGGUUUAAUUCGAUGAUACGCGAGGAACCUUACCCGGGCUUAAAUUGCAGUGGAAUGAUGUGGAAACAUGUCAGUGAGCAAUCACCGCUGUGAAGGUGCUGCAUGGUUGUCGUCAGCUCGUGCCGUGAGGUGUCGGCUUAAGUGCCAUAACGAGCGCAACCCUUAUCUUUAGUUACUAACAGGUUAUGCUGAGGACUCUAGAGAGACUGCCGUCGUAAGAUGUGAGGAAGGUGGGGAUGACGUCAAAUCAGCACGGCCCUUACGUCCGGGGCUACACACGUGUUACAAUGGGGGGUACAGAAGGCAGCUAGCGGGUGACCGUAUGCUAAUCCCAAAAUCCUCUCUCAGUUCGGAUCGAAGUCUGCAACCCGACUUCGUGAAGCUGGAUUCGCUAGUAAUCGCGCAUCAGCCACGGCGCGGUGAACACGUUCCCGGGCCUUGUACACACCGCCCGUCAAGCCAUGGGAGCCGGGGGUACCUGAAGUACGUAACCGCAAGGAUCGUCCUAGGGUAAAACUGGUGACUGGGGCUA
RNAcentral lists this ribosomal RNA (1433 nucleotides) under uncultured organism. Its description in RNAcentral is "16S ribosomal RNA". It matches the Rfam family "Bacterial small subunit ribosomal RNA". The record is from RNAcentral.